AUGACUGUUUGGCUAGCCCAUGCAAGAAUUAAAUCCAUCGCAUGCAAGCCGGUGGGGAUGGACACCUGGAACCAGUCGUUCGGUGCACCCAGCAAGACCAGGUUAGUCCAUAUCCUCAAGAAUCUCCACACCGCGGAGGUCAAAAUCUACUCGGACGCGUCGAGGGAGUUCAUCCAGCUAUUGGGCGGCGAUUCUGGUGGCGAGGUGCUCCGGGACUAUGUCCAGCAGUCCCCGCGGCUCGUGGAGCUGAUGGAGGCAUGGCGGCUGCACCGGGAGAAGCCAGGGAUGGCCUACAUGCUCUCCCUGUUUGCCACUGUCCUGGGCAACCCCGGUGGCAAGUCGCGGCAGCAUGCCUUUUCUAAGAAGUGCUUGGACGCCGUUGCUAGGACGAUACUGGAGGAUAAGGACAAGGUGGGGGAUGUGCACCGUGAACUCAACAGCGGCGAGUUCCGGCGCCAGAAUGCCGCACUGGAUUUGCUUGCUGCCAUUGUCAGGCGUGGUGGGGGGUUGGCGUCAGAGGUUGCCGAGAGCUUUGAUUUCAAGAUGGCUCUUGUCACGCAACUAGCAGGGAUACAGAAGAAGAGAGGGGGCAGGGAUGGGAGGAAUCAGAAGAAAAAAGGUGCUAAUUUUGGCUCUACAAGGCGAUCACUUGUUGGGUUUGCCAUGUCGUUCCUUGAGGUUGGGAACCCCAAGCUGCUAAGAUGGGUCCUUCAACAGAGGGAGCUUUACUCAGGGGUGCUACGCGGGAUUGGAGAAGAUGAUGCUGAGACCGUUGUGUAUGUCCUCUCAACACUGCGGGAUAAUGUUUUGGUAGAGGAGUCGCUUGUCCCACCAGGGCUCCGCAGUGUCCUUUUUGGAAGUGCCACAUUGGAACAGCUGAGCUUGAUAUCGGGGAAUUUGGAUCCAGGUGAAGCAGCUGACCUUGCUCAUCAAGUGCUUGUCAUGGUCUGCACUGAUCCAAAAAAUGGAUUAAUGCCAUCCUCACAUUUGAGAGGUAACGAGAAACACUUGCUGGAUCUGAUGAAGAAGUUGCAUUCUACUGAGAGCAUUCACCACAAGAAUCUGUUGCUGGCUAUUGUGAGUAAGAGACUUUCUUUUUGCGCGGCAUACAUGAAUGAGUUCCCUUACAAUGUUGAACCACGGCCAUCCCCCUCUUGGUUUGCUGCCAUCUCCCUAGCAGCGGAUAUAAUAUCUUCAGCACAAACUGAUAGCAUAUUUCAUAGUUUCCUGUCACAUGAUCUGGUAUCCGUCGAUGAUGAACAAGUACAGGUAGUUCUGAAGUGCAUCGUGCCCCAUGUAUGCUCUCGAGCAGUGAUAAAUAGGGGAUUGCAGCAUUCUAAUGAUCUUGUGAAGCAUGGUUCUCUGAGGCUUGUUUUUGAGUCAGUGAACCUACUGUGCUAUGUUACUGAAGCAAUCAAUGGCGUGGUAUCAAGUGUGGGAUCGACAUCAGAAUUCAGUAGCUCAACUAAAGGGAAAAUCAGAAUGAACAGUUUCCCUGGAUUAAGUUGUUCCACUGCAACAGAUGCAUUCUUGGUAGAUAAACUUAACCAGGGAGACCAAAUGCGUGUCAAGAGGUGGAUAUCUCUGAGAGAAUACAUUCAAGAUGAAGUGCGCGGAGCUAUUCCUGAUCCACAGGUCCUUCUGAAGUUACUUUCUUCUGCCAGUCAGAAACACCAAAAUUGUUCUCAGAGUAGACUUGAGAGACGUGCUCAGGUUUCUGAGCCUCAAAAGAAACAGAGGUGUAAUGCUAACGAUGAUAUUAUUAUUGGUGGAAUUGAUGUUGAGUGGGCCAAAAAUCGAUCCUGCUACCACUCUGUUGAGAUAUGGGGCUUAGAUAGGCAAGAUGUGGAGAUGAAAGGUGCAGAAGUGGUAGACAGUGUUUUCCACUCGAAGUUGCUUGAUGUUCUCCGGCUCUAUUUGAGGGUAAUGCCCAGCUCAUUUGAUGGAUCAUUUGACUUCUUUAGGGUUAUACCACCUAAUCCGUUGGAUCUAUCCAAGGAUGAGCAGCACUCCUUAUUGUCACUUUUAGUUGAGUAUUCAGGGCAACACGAGGGACAUUGGGACCCAGAGAGAGUUCCAGAAUCAAUGCACAAGCAUUUGCAACCACUGAUUGACAUCAUGUUGCACUCACCAAACUUUGCGGAGAUUGAUGCAUGGUUGGUUUUCUUGCCUGGGUAUGAAGCCAAAUGGUGUGUAAGAGAGAGCCUAGGAGUUGGAGUAUCUAAUAAAUUGUCACACAUUGUGAUCCCUUUCCUCUGCGAUGCUGUUUCAUUGGUUGGGAACAAUUUGUACAAAUAUGAAGAGCACAUGCGAACGGUCAUCUCUAAAUCAGGCCAGCUUGAAGUCUAUUCUCCAGAUUUCAGUCCUCUGGUUAUUUGUGUUCUUCAGAAAUGCCUUAGGCUACUUGACUCUGAGUCUGGAGGUAUGGAAGUACGUGAGAAGUCGACAAUUUCAUUAUAUGUGUGCAACACAAUCUACCUUAUUCUGCAGUCCCAGGUAGAUGCUCAAUUAUUGCUUGACCUUAUUGGUACUGUUCUGAAUCAGAGAUUUGAUAUUUUUUCACCGGAAGAACUACAGUCUAGGAUUUAUAUUGCUGAAUGGAGGCCAUUCAUGAAUUUGUUGCAUAUCUCUAGGAGUAUCUCGGACCAACAAAAUUCUAGUUUGUUCACAGCUGUGGAACAUUCUUCUGAACUUCAUUCAAACUCUUUGUCCUCUGUGAUUAGAAAGGUUCAAGAAAUGUUAAGGCAGCAACACACUAAUUUGCCGGAUGAUGUAGCGACUGCAUUCUUAUUUUCAAUCAUGUGUGCAGCUCCACAGGACAUUAUCGGUAGCUUUCCAGAGCUUCUUGAUGUUGUGAAAACACACUUUCCUUCUCAUAUGCAAUUCUUGUCGUCAGUUCUUUAUCUGCAACAUGAUUACCUAGCUGAAAUUGCUACUUGUUGGCCGGAUAUUUUCUUCUGUAGUCUCAGACAGAUUGAGGGUAAUCUUGAUGUUGAUGAGGCCAAAUGUCAAAACCACUCAAUUUCUGCAGAAUUGACUGCAUUGAGUACAUUCCUAAAUGUGACUCCGUUCUGUGCACUCUUACCUUCAGUAUUAAGCCUUGUGUUCUCUGGGCCAGCUAAAACUGGGGAGGCACAUGCAUUGCUACUUGAUGCACUUGUCCGACUUAUUCGAGCUAAGCUUUAUGAAAGCACAAUCAGUGAGUUGACAUUUAAUCUGAGAGUCAUAUUAUUCUGGAGCCAUCGCUUGCUGUUGUCAUACACUAGGAAGGGUUCAAAUGUUCUUGAAGAACUUUGUCAUGUAUGCUCCACUCUUGUUGAUAGCAUAUUUGAGCGCAUCCGAGUUUUGGCUGCUAAUACUGCUGACUUGAAUGCUUCAGCGGAAUGUUUCCAAGAUAUUGUUGAAUCGGUUCUCCACCAUCCUACUAUUGACCUGCCACGUUCCUUAUCCAAUUGCCCAGACUUGACAGAUGGGAGUGCGGAACAUGUGGAAGAAGCAUUUACUAGUUUUUCAAAGGAAAAUCUGCACCUUGUAGAUGGUUUUGUUGUGAAUCUUCUUAGUAAACUAUAUGACCUUUUACUGUUGGCUGGUAAUGAUGGUCAGUCCUUAGAGUCGCUGUUUGCUUCCCCAAAGGUCAUGCUAGAAAAAAUACUGCUGUUGUUCAAGGAUAAAUUUGAAGUCUGCAUGGACAAUGGAAACUUUGGACUGCUUUUGCCAAAUUUCUACAUGGUUCGGGCAUUGAAAAAAUUCAUGUCCCCUGUCAGACUUCUAGAACUUGUAAAUUGGAUGUUCUCAGAGUUAGAAAGUCGUGGGUCGAGUUGUUCAGCUGCAUUUGCCCCUGCUGCUUUUGUAUGUCUAUCUGUUGCUGAUAUUGCCAUGGAAUUACUGUAUGAUUAUCUACAACAAACUGAUCAGAGAUCAGAAUCCUGUCAAUUAUGGGGCUUGGAGAUUAGAAGUUCAGAUAUUGCCACCAUUCAGCGAGUAUAUCAUUUCAUUCUCCACUUUACUGCUAAACUGAAUCUUGAAUCUGCUGAUGUUUGCUUGCUGAAGAUGUUGAUUCGUAUCCAUAAUGCAGAAAGAUCUGCAGGACAGAACGCUGAAUAUACUGCAUUCCACAUGAUGUUAUCUACCAUGGCCACCAACACUCCCCUUAGCAUUCUUCAUCACUGUAUGUUUCCCACAUCUAAGGUUAAAGCAAAAGUUUUAUGGUUGCUUUUGGAAGUAAGCCCUAUACACAUGAACUUUUUUGGCCAGAUGUUGAUGAAAGUUCUAGAAGAAGACACUUCUAUUCUGCAAGGAAUGGAUUACAAUUCUGAUUCUUCACGGGCUCAUGAGGAUAGCUCUAUACUUCUGCUGCCUGCUGCUUUGUCAUACAUGAGGCAUCACAGUGAUGGCCAUAUGCAGUGUGCUGAAUUCCUUGAGCCACUUGCAAACUUUUACUGUGAAAUGCUAUUAGGUGAUAAUGGGUUUCCAUGUUGGAAAAGUUUUAUUACUAGGAGCAUUUUUGAGGAAAAUUUUGGUGACUUUCAACAUGAAUCAGUUCAAGAUAUGAUGGAUUAUUUCAGUGACACUCUCUUGGGGAAGUCUGUUACCAUGUUGCACUACUGCUUGUCUUUAAAAGAAAUGCCCCGGAAGCAACGCUUGGAAAUAGUUGCUUCACUUUGUCCACAAUCUUCUGGCCUAUUAGAUUCUGAUGUCAAUGAUAUUAAUCCUGACUCACACAAAGGUCAUCUGAAGCUUACUAAUAAAUUGCUUGCAAAGAUAUCGUUGAUUAGGUUGUUGCUGUCUCCCCCAAGAAGAUUGUCAUCUAAUGAGACAGCAUCAGACAGGGAGUCCAAGAGAGUGAGCAAUGCUAAGCUGAAUUUCAUAAGCAUCUUGGUCAGAACUUUGGAUCAAAUACUCAGGAAUUUCCCCCGAUGUGAUGGUUUAUCCCACUCUGAUAAACAACAAAGGGUCGUCCGUUCUUUGGAAUAUACAGUUCUCAAGAAUAUUAUCGAACUGUCUUCAGAGAUUCAAACUCAUCUGAACCAAUUGAAGUCAAUACCUUUCCUUAACCAAUUCAUCAGAUCAUCUCUCUUGCACAGGUUCAAUGAUCAUGUCACACUAAAAGCAAUUCGAUGCGUUCUUGUUGUAUUAUCAGAAGGGAAGUUUCCUGCUGAUGAAAUUCUUGAGCUCAUACUGGGCCACUCCCAUUUUCUGUCGUCAAUAACCUGCAGUGAAGUUUCUGAAUAUUCAGCUGCAUUUAAUGCCACAGGGAGCCUUCUACAGCCAGCACCAGGCAUUUUAAAAUCAGUCGAUUCUCUUUUCACUAAAAAAAGCGAGUUCCAUAUUUGCAUAGCAGAAAAGAGAAAAAUAGAAAUGAUCAGAUUACUCAGGAUACUGUAUGAUAUUAAGAGUAGACAACAGAGUAAUGGCCUAUUGAAUGAAUCAAGAGAGCUAAGUUUCUUGCUUUUAUCUGUUUAUGGUGCAACUCUUAGCGAAACAGAUCUGGAGAUAUUUAAUCUUAUGAAUGAGAUAGAGUCACAUGAGUGCAAAACUAUCGCUGAAAUGGAUCAUCUAUGGGGGAGUGCAGCUAACACAGAAAGUAAUAGUAGGCGAAGGGCGGCGCUAUUUCGGGAGAACAUACCAAUUGAUUCUAAGCUCUGUGUCAUGACAGUCUUGCAAUUUUGCUACAAAAGGUCUUCAAGGACUUCUGUGUUCUCACUAGAACAGCUUCGUCAGGACAAAUUUGAUGAUAUUUUGAAGACAACAUCUCGAAGCAUCGAUAUGGUUCGGAUUUAUGAUCCUAUGUUUAUCUUGUGUUUCUUGAUUCAUACUCUUCUCAUGGGUUACAUUGAGCCUGCUGAAUUCUCUCGAGUUGGGCUGCUUGCCAUUACGCUUGUUUCCAUAUCAUCUCCUGAUGAAGAAUUGAGAAAGCUUGGUUAUGAAUCUCUAAAUACAUUCAAAAAAUCACUCGAGAACAAAUUUUGUGCCCGUAAUUUAAUUUGGAAGUCCAUUUUAUAUUAUAAAAGCAAGGAAAAAUGGCAGCUCCAGCUUCUUUUGACAUAUCUACAGAAUGGGAUAUCCAAACCAUGGCAGAGGAUACCUUCCAUUAUUGCUAUUUUUACCGCAGAAGCAUCAUUGACACUGCUGGAUAGCACGCAUACCCAGUUCAAUACCAUAAGCAAUUUUUUGAUGAAUUCAGCCUCUGUCGACAUGCAGAGCAUUCCAUUAUUUCCAACAUUAUUGAAGAGUAGUUCUGUGCAUUUCAAAGCUGAUCGAUUGUGGAUGCUUCGCUUAUUAUACGCUGGAUCAAAUCUAGCUGAUGAUGCUACGAUAUGCAAGAACAAAAGUGUUUUAGAGCUUGCUCUUGCCUUUUGUUCUUCAGCUAUUUCAGAUUCUGAAUCGAAGCAUUUAAUCCUUCAGGUGCUAAAGAAGUGUGCGAAGCUGCCAGUUCUAGCUCAGCAUUUAGUAAAAACUUGUGGCCUUCUGUCGUGGAUAUCCUCUGUUAUUUCAACUCAGGACAAAGGACUGGACAACAACUCUAGUUCCAGAAUAGCUGGGUUAGCAUUGGAGGUACUCAAUGCUUUGAUCUUAUCAAGAUUCAUCACGGAAUGGCUCCAAGAAACUGCACUUGAGCAACUAUCAGAAAUAUCUAAAUGUCUGUAUCUGCUAGUUGAAGAUGGAAAAUUAUUGAAAGGGGAUAUCACCAUGUUGAGUUCAAUUCUAAAUGUUAUUGCAUGUACAAUGAGGUUGUCUAUGAAAAGGAAGAUAUACCAACCGCAUUUUACCUUGUCCCUCCAUGGCAUAUUUAAGUUGUGCCAAGCUAUUGAUGGCAAUUCAAGAAGUAUCGAACUUAAGCCAUCAAUGGAGCUUGGUACUGAUGUCGAUAAGUCAAGAAGUGUGAUGGUUGUUUCAUGGGUAACUUCCAAUAUCUUCUGGUUGUGUAAACAAAAGUCUGCAGCGGAAAUGUCAUGUGAAGAGCCACUAAACAAUGAGUGUCUACUAUCAAAGAUAUUGCGUUGGUUAGUGGCUUCUGUAAUCCUUGGCAGAAUCUCCCGCAUCUCUCCUGAAAAGAGGGGAGGUCUUGCCACGAGCACAAAUAGUCCCGGAACUCUUCAGUCUUUCUUGAACCAUUCAUCUGAAACCUUUGAAAUGGCGGAUAGUCACGUUGCGGAUGAGGCGCUGGCUGCCAUUAUACUUUACCUACAAGGUCACGUGAAAAAGAAGAUUGAUACUUUGCCGUCGGUUGUGACGGCUCUUAGCUUGUUACUUGUUGACAGAUGCAGCGAACAAGUUUUGGUUGAUAGCCGCGGACAAAUCGAAACGCUUUGCUCGAAGAUACAUUGCCCCGCCGAAUCUAAUCCCGCAUGGAGAUGGCAUUAUUAUCUACCUUGGAGAGAUCCUGCCUUGCAGCACACUGCGACAGAGCGCAUGGAAGUAGAGCAGUCAUGCCGAAGCCUGUUGAUCAUGUUUUCUAAUGCCCUGAGCGCUGCUGGGUUGCCGGCAGGUAUCCCGGUGUUGUCUGUUGGUGACAUUGACAAGUCUGGGCUGUUCCAGUGGGAAAGAGACUCCGUGGUUGAGCAGCCUCACGCGUAG
RNAcentral lists this ribosomal RNA (7578 nucleotides) under Triticum aestivum (bread wheat). Its description in RNAcentral is "partial small subunit ribosomal RNA". The record is from RNAcentral. Lineage: Eukaryota; Viridiplantae; Streptophyta; Magnoliopsida; Poales; Poaceae.